This 429-nucleotide ribosomal RNA is filed under the name Gemmatimonadota bacterium. Its description in RNAcentral is "Gemmatimonadetes bacterium partial 16S ribosomal RNA". It matches the Rfam family "Bacterial small subunit ribosomal RNA", at positions 355 to 776 of the family's 1533-position model. The record is from RNAcentral. Lineage: Bacteria; Pseudomonadati; Gemmatimonadota.
UAGGGAAUCUUCGGCAAUGGACGAAAGUCUGACCGAGCAACGCCGCGUGAGUGAAGAAGGUUUUCGGAUCGUAAAACUCUGUUGUUAGAGAAGAACAAGGACGUUAGUAACUGAACGUCCCCUGACGGUAUCUAACCAGAAAGCCACGGCUAACUACGUGCCAGCAGCCGCGGUAAUACGUAGGUGGCAAGCGUUGUCCGGAUUUAUUGGGCGUAAAGCGAGCGCAGGCGGUUUCUUAAGUCUGAUGUGAAAGCCCCCGGCUCAACCGGGGAGGGUCAUUGGAAACUGGGGGACUUGAGUGCAGAAGAGGAGGGUGGAAUUCCAUGUGUAGCGAUGAAAUGCGUAGAUAUAUGGAGGAACACCAGUGGCGAAGGCGGCUCUCUGGUCUGUAACUGACGCUGAGGCUCGAAAGCGUGGGGAGCAAACAGG